GACGAACGCUGGCGGCGUGCUUAACACAUGCAAGUCGAACGGAAAGGCGCGGCUCUUGCUGGGUGCACGAUAGGCGAACGGGUGUGUAACACGUGAGUAACCUGCCCUUGACUUUGGGAUAACUUCAGGAAACUGGGGCGAAUAUCGGGUAGGAGCUACUGAUGCGCAGGGGGGGAUGGAGAGUGUCGGCCGUUGGGGAUGGUAUCGCAGGUUAUCCGCUUGAUGGGGAGGUAGUGGCUUACCACGGGUUUGACGGGUAGGCGGCCUGGGAGGGUGACCGGCGACCAUGCGCCUGCGAGACGGACCAGUAGCCUACGUUACGCAGCAGUCGGGAAUAUUGCGCAAUGGCCGGAAGCCUGAUGUAGCAGCGCCGCGUUCGGGAUGACGGCCUUCGGGUUGUAAACAGCUUUCGCCUGUGCCGAAGAGUGAGUGACGGUACUGGGUCAAGAAGCCCCGGCUAACUACGUG
This 468-nucleotide ribosomal RNA is filed under the name uncultured bacterium. RNAcentral describes it as "partial 16S ribosomal RNA". It matches the Rfam family "Bacterial small subunit ribosomal RNA", at positions 28 to 507 of the family's 1533-position model. The record is from RNAcentral.